CCUACGGGAGGCCGCAGUGAGGAAUAUUGGUCAAUGGGCGUAAGCCUGAACCAGCCAAGCCGCGUGAGGGAUGAAGGUUCUACGGAUCGUAAACCUCUUUUUUAAGGGAAUAAAGUGUGGGACGAGUCCUGUUUUAAGUGUACCUUAUGAAUAAGCAUCGGCUAACUCCGUGCCAGCAGCCGCGGUAAUACGGCGGAUGCGAGCGUUAUCCGGAUUUAUUGGGUUUAAAGGGUGCGUAGGCGGGCUUGUAAGUCAGCGGGGAAAGUCCGGGGGUCAACCACUGUAGUGCCGUUGAAACUGGCGGGCUUGAGUAGGUGAGAGGCAGGCGGAAUGCGUGGUGUAGCGGUGAAAUGCUUAGAUAUCACGCAGAACCCCGAUUGCGAAGGCAGCCUGCCGGGCCAUGACUGACGCUGAGGCACGAAAGCGUGGGGAUCAAACAGGAUUAGAUACCCCAGUAGUC
This 460-nucleotide ribosomal RNA is filed under the name uncultured bacterium. RNAcentral describes it as "partial 16S ribosomal RNA". It matches the Rfam family "Bacterial small subunit ribosomal RNA", at positions 338 to 795 of the family's 1533-position model. The record is from RNAcentral.